AGUCGAACGGUAACAGGAAGCAGCUUGCUGCUUUGCUGACGAGUGGCGGACGGGUGAGUAAUGUCUGGGAAACUGCCUGAUGGAGGGGGAUAACUACUGGAAACGGUAGCUAAUACCGCAUAACGUCGCAAGACCAAAGAGGGGGACCUUCGGGCCUCUUGCCAUCGGAUGUGCCCAGAUGGGAUUAGCUAGUAUGUGGGGUAACGGCUCACCUAGGCGACGAUCCCUAGCUGGUCUGAGAGGAUGACCAGCCACACUGGAACUGAGACACGGUCCAGACUCCUACGGGAGGCAGCAGUGGGGAAUAUUGCACAAUGGGCGCAAGCCUGAUGCAGCCAUGCCGCGUGUAUGAAGAAGGCCUUCGGGUUGUAAAGUACUUUCAGCGGGGAGGAAGGCGACAGGGUUAAUAACCCUGUCGAUUGACGUUACCCGCAGAAGAAGCACCGGCUAACUCCGUGCCAGCAGCCGCGGUAAUACGGAGGGUGCAAGCGUUAAUCGGAAUUACUGGGCGUAAAGCGCACGCAGGCGGUCUGUCAAGUCGGAUGUGAAAUCCCCGGGCUCAACCUGGGAACUGCAUUCGAAACUGGCAGGCUAGAGUCUUGUAGAGGGGGGUGGAAUUCCAGGUGUAGCGGUGAAAUGCGUAGAGAUCUGGAGGAAUACCGGUGGCGAAGGCGGCCCCCUGGACAAAGACUGACGCUCAGGUGCGAAAGCGUGGGGAG
This 719-nucleotide ribosomal RNA is filed under the name uncultured Enterobacterales bacterium. RNAcentral's name for it is "bacterial SSU rRNA". It matches the Rfam family "Bacterial small subunit ribosomal RNA", at positions 60 to 768 of the family's 1533-position model. The record is from RNAcentral. Lineage: Bacteria; Pseudomonadati; Pseudomonadota; Gammaproteobacteria; Enterobacterales.